RNAcentral lists this ribosomal RNA (492 nucleotides) under uncultured bacterium. RNAcentral's name for it is "partial 16S ribosomal RNA". It matches the Rfam family "Bacterial small subunit ribosomal RNA", at positions 29 to 507 of the family's 1533-position model. The record is from RNAcentral.
AGUGAACGCUGGCGGUAGGCCUAACACAUGCAAGUCGAACGGCAGCACAGUAAGAGCUUGCUCUUACGGGUGGCGAGUGGCGGACGGGUGAGGAAUACAUCGGAAUCUACUUUUUCGUGGGGGAUAACGUAGGGAAACUUACGCUAAUACCGCAUACUACCUACGGGUGAAAGCAGGGGAUCUUCGGACCUUGCGCGAUUCAAUGAGCCGAUGUCGGAUUAGCUAGUUGGCGGGGUAAAGGCCCACCAAGGCGACGAUCCGUAGCUGGUCUGAGAGGAUGAUCAGCAACACUGGAACUGAGACACGGUCCAGACUCCUACGGGAGGCAGCAGUGGGGAAUAUUGGACAAUGGGCGCAAGCCUGAUCCAGCCAUACCGCGUGGGUGAAGAAGGCCUUCGGGUUGUAAAGCCCUUUUGUUGGGAAAGAAAAGCAGCAGGUUAAUACCCCGCUGUUCUGACAGUACCCAAAGAAUAAGCACCGGCUAACUUCGUG